RNAcentral lists this ribosomal RNA (511 nucleotides) under uncultured bacterium. RNAcentral describes it as "partial 16S ribosomal RNA". The record is from RNAcentral.
GGAGUUAGCCGGUGCUUCUUCUGCGAGUAACGUCACAGAUGUAAGGUAUUAACUUACACCCUUUCCUCCUCGCUGAAAGUGCUUUACAACCCGAAGGCCUUCUUCACACACGCGGCAUGGCUGCAUCAGGGUUUCCCCCAUUGUGCAAUAUUCCCCACUGCUGCCUCCCGUAGGAGUCUGGGCCGUGUCUCAGUCCCAGUGUGGCUGAUCAUCCUCUCAGACCAGCUAGGGAUCGUCGCCUAGGUGAGCCUUUACCUCACCUACUAGCUAAUCCCACCUGGGCUUAUCCAUCAGCGCAAGGCCCGAAGGUCCCCUGCUUUCCCCCGUAGGGCGUAUGCGGUAUUAGCAGUCGUUUCCAACUGUUAUCCCCCACAAAUGGGCAAAUUCCCAGGCAUUACUCACCCGUCCGCCGCUCGUCAUCUUCAAAGCAAGCUUUUAGAAAUGUUACCGCUCGACUUGCAUGUGUUAGGCCUGCCGCCAGCGUUCAAUCUGAACCAAGAUCAAAUUCUGA